AUCGAAUCUUUGAACGCACCUUGCGCUCCCUGGUAUUCCGGGGAGCAUGCCUGUUUGAGUGUCAUGAAAACCCUCAACCUUAGAUUGGUUAACACCUUUCUUUGGCUUGGAUUUGGACGUUUGCCGAUGAUAAGUCGGCUCGUCUUAAAAGUAAUAGCUGGAUCUGUCUCGCGACAUGGUUUGACUUGGCGUAAUAAGUAUUUCGCUAAGGACAUCUUCGGAUGGCCGCGUUGCAAGACUAAAGACCGCUUUCUAAUCCAUUGAUCUUCGGAUUAAUAUUCUUGACAUCUGGCCUCAAAUCAGGUAGGACUACCCGCUGAACUUAAGCAUAUCAAUAAGCGGAGGA
Molecule: ribosomal RNA, 346 nt
Filed under: Cryptococcus sp. YNS6.6-120506
Lineage: Eukaryota; Fungi; Basidiomycota; Tremellomycetes; Tremellales; Cryptococcaceae
Description: eukaryotic LSU rRNA
Rfam family: 5.8S ribosomal RNA (bases 1-64)
Source: RNAcentral